Molecule: non-coding RNA, 749 nt
Organism: Dermatophagoides farinae (American house dust mite)
Lineage: Eukaryota; Metazoa; Arthropoda; Arachnida; Sarcoptiformes; Pyroglyphidae
Source: RefSeq, a predicted model, not a curated record
GUGUGUGUCGAGUUGAACAGGUAGAUGUUUAAUUUAAUAAACAAUGCAAUGGAAAAGUUCCGCCAUGAAUCUUCAUUUGAAGGAAAAAGAAGAAGGUAUUUUUCGUAUAGUUAGAGAGGUAAAAAUCGAUCCAAGAAGAUAUAAAAAGCUGACCAUUGAUGAUGGACAAAAUCAUUCAGUAACAAACCAAACAAAAACUAUUAUUUGCUACUAUUUUGCUCAAAGCAAAUUUGAACAAAAAUGAAAACAUAUAUCGUUGCCGCUCUUUUGGUCUUAGCCGCUGUUGCUUCGGCCGUGCCAUAUUAUGGCAGUUACGGUUUCCUCGGUGGUGUUGGCUAUGGAUAUGGGGGACCAGCUUACUACAAAGCCAUUUCUCCAGCUUACCGAACUUAUUCUGUUCCAGCUUAUCACAGCUAUGGUUAUGCUGCACCAUAUUACAAAUCAUACGCUCCAGCUAUUAGCUAUGCAAGCUAUGCCCCAGCUUAUUCGUAUGGUUACGGUUUGGGUGGUGUCGGAUAUGGGUAUGGAUAUGGAUAUGCUCCAGCCUAUUAUGGUGGCUAUUACAAAAAAUUCUAUUAAAUGGAAUCAGCUCACAUCAUUCAAAUGAGAAUGAUGAUGAAUAAAUACAAAACAGUCAUGUAAUUUUUCAAAAAAAACAAUCCUGCCACUGAAUGACCAAAAUGUUCCUCUAUAUGAUUUGUAAAAUGAGCCAGUAAAGUCGGAAUAAAAGUCAAAAUUUUCCUUUUUGA